AGUUAUGAAUUGGUUUGUUCAAUCAAAUUAUAACAAAAGCCAACAUUCUAAUCUCUUAACCUGGUUACAGCAUUUUGCGUGGCGAUUAAGUCUAAGAGAUAAAAAAAAUUAAGUAUGUUAGGACUAAAAUAGUUUUAAGAUGGAUGGCCUUUUUGACAAGUGAGACGUCGCACUUAAACUUCAGAUUGUGAAUUACAAAUUAGACUAAUUUCGCACUUUCUCACUUGAGUACUAUGUGAUUUAAAGUGUAUCAAAUUAGUGUUCUGUGGUUUUAUUUUUAUCUUUUCGUCAGAUUUUUCGUUAAUGUUUUGUUAAACUAUUUUCAAAAAACUUCAGGUACCCCACCUAGGUUUAUCGAAUAUUCAUUUUAAUGCCCUUUAGUUUUAAUUUUAUCACUGAUUUAACGAAAAAAAUUAAUGAAAUCAAUAAUAAAAAGAUAAAAAUAAAACCACUGAGCACUAAAUUGAUACACUUUAAACCACAUGAUAGUAAUUAAAGUGAGAUAAGUGUGAAACAACAGGGAUGAUAUUUGUGUGAUUUUUUUUUUCUUCUUAUGAAAGAAAAUUCAAAAAAAAAGAUGAAAAA
Molecule: long non-coding RNA, 585 nt
Filed under: Ananas comosus (pineapple)
Lineage: Eukaryota; Viridiplantae; Streptophyta; Magnoliopsida; Poales; Bromeliaceae
Description: long non-coding RNA (ACOM_LNC028699)
Source: RNAcentral